Bactrocera oleae (olive fruit fly) is the source of this 3900-nucleotide non-coding RNA. The record is from RefSeq and is a predicted model, not a curated record. Lineage: Eukaryota; Metazoa; Arthropoda; Insecta; Diptera; Tephritidae.
GUCCAUUGAAUAAAUGAGGAAAUGAAUGUGCAAGUCAAUGCACCAUAAAACAAUAUCCCAGGACUUAUAUUUACAAUUUUAUAAGCAUCUCUUAUAACGCAUAUAGGAAUAAUUUUAAAUUGAACAAGAAAACACGUUAACUUCGGUUGCAGCGAAGCUAUAAAACCCUUCACAAAUACAAAGGCUCCUUACAAAAACUUAUUCCGAUCGUUCAAUUUGUAUGACAGCUAUAUGAUAUAGUAGUCUGAUCUGAACAAUUUCUGCGAAGAAUACAUUGUUGCCUUAAACAAUAACUCGUGCCUAAUUUCGUGAAAAUACCUCGUCAAAUGAAAGAGUUAACCAUACAAGCAUUUGAUUCCGAUCGUUCAGUUUGUAUGGCAGUACUAUGCUAUAGUCACCUGAUCUAUACAAUUUCUUCGGAGAUUGCCUUAAAUAAUAAUCCAUGCCAAGUUUCCCAUACCAGUACUUAAUUCCGAUUGUUCAGUUUGUAUGGCAGCUAUAGCAAUAAAGGCCCGAUAUCGGCUGUUCCGGGAAAUGAGCAGAAAUUUGCGUCUUUUAUACCAUUUUGUAUUAUAGCCAGAUCAAUCAAAAUAAUAACUUUGGGAAAUUUAAAUUAAAACACCCAAUCUUUUUUUAAUUAAAAAUUAUUAUAUAUAUAUCCGUUUAACAUAUGGAAAAAAUACUUCAAUCCUUUUUUAUGAUUUUGUGAUAGAGUAAAAUAUCUGAAUCAACUUUCAACACUUAAUAAGGUGCUUUAAUCAUUUUCAAUUGAAAAUUAGUACUACGAAGCAUCACAUCACAACCGAUUUUAUCACAUACAUUUCAGUUUCGCGUUUUUUUUUUAUUUUCAUUGUUUUCCAAUUAUUGAUGGAGAUCUUAAACAGCGGAAACCAAUCUCUCCGUCCUUAUAUUUUUCCAAUUGCGAAACGUCAAAACCUCUUUAAUUCAGUCAACUGUCAAAGGUUAAGUUGUGAUUCACAAUCUCACUUCCGAUGACAUGAGAGUUUUACAUCUCUGUACCUCUUGAUGCGGGUGUCGUUGGUCCAAUUUCCUAUAUUAUUGUGUUUUUAUAUAUUGUAAUUAAGCGUGUUUUGACAAAUCCUUGCAUAUGUUUAAGGAUGGCAAAAAAAGUUAUUAGUCGAUUCAUGUAUCAAAUGAUUAAUUGCAACAACAAAAUAUUAGUUUCAAUUAAUUGCUAGAUAUUAACCGAUUAACCCCACCUUUGGUUUUCUUUUGUUCUUACUGUUAAAAUAGUGAAACAUAAAACACCAUAGUCGAUGACACCACAGUCUCCCACAACACGAUAUACCGUACCUGUAAGCAGGACAGCCGGUAUCUUUCGCAAAACCACUCUCGAUGACUCAAUUCUCAACAGACCACCGAUUACGUGCGCUAGGGAUAUAUGAUUACUGCAAUCGACAUCACUCCGCAAACCCAUUCGAUUAUUAGCUUCAAUCAACACGGUUACUGUUUGCUGUUGUGUUGAGUGAAUCUGAUAAUAUCUUACCAUGGGCAGAGGGGUAGUAAACUUAGUAUUACGUACAAUUUUCAAUUUUAAUAUUCAUCACUUUCGCGUUUAGAGUUGGCGUUAUAGAAUAGCGUCAUCUGUACCUCAUUUUUUUAACUUGAUAUUGACAGAUAAAAAUCAUAUGUUCUUAUUCAGUACUUUUCGUACUUCUCGACUUUUAAUUAUUCUAUUGUUAUUUUCGUUGACCGGUGAUUUCCUUGUGAUUUGAACUUUUGAAAAUACACGUGAUUUAAUUGUAUACUGAAUAUUUUAUCAAAAAAGUCUGGAUAUUUACAUCCACUGUUAUUUAAAGCUUGGGUAAAAGGUUUCCCAAAUAAAACACCUAAGGUUUGUCAACAAGAAUCAAACUUGUUCUGAACAACCAACAAAGAUAUAUUUGAAAAUGACAAAGACUGAGUCAACUUGCUGCUGCUAAAAGAAACUAACAAUGCCGAUAUUUUCCUAAACAGUCAUUAUUAUAACUCGAAUUCUACUCGUAACGUAAAUCACUUCUUACAGCAAAAUGUGUCUAGGUGACAUUUUGCUUUGAUGGAUAAAAACUCUACAAAUUCCUCUGUGGCAUUAUGCACUAGAGAAGUAUAUAGCACACGAACUGAUUAAGAAAGAGACAAUUCCUGAUGAAUCACAAUCAACAUCUCAUUCUACACCAGCACAGAUGCCAAUGAAAAAAAAUUUCAUUGAUAGAGAGUGAGUUGAAUACUAAUCCUUUACGUCGUGAUUCGGGUCUUGGAGGCCUGCAGAUUAAUCAAGAAAUAACUAAAUUGCAAAAAUAACUUGAUGGAUCGAUGGAUCUCAAAAGCAAAAAACGCAACGCUUGAUAUCAAAAAAAUUUUAGAAAAAAAAGACAGGCAUUAAUCAAAGACCUUAUCAAGGAUCCAGUUGUAAAACAACAAUUAAAUUUGCACGAGAUAGUUGGUCGCCCGUGUUUGGAGGAGUCUGUACCUGAGUUUUAGAAAGUUUUAGCAGAAAUUGCAAGCUUUGGAUGUGAUGCAUGGUUUUAAUUUAUCACGAAGUGCUACGUAUCUUCGUCUUUUACCUAGAUACUCUCCUACAAUUGAAGGGAAAAACACGUAGUAACAGUUCCGUUGAAAUAAGGUAGAGCAACAAAUGAUGAGCCCAAACGAGAUCCAGAUGGUCAAUUUUGCACUGCUUCGAUUUGGGAUAUCGAGUCACUCGCCUCAUUGCUUGGACCUGAUCUGGGUAACAUUCAGCAUUAUCAGCACGCUCUCAUAGCAUUGAUUUAGAGCAUCUCAUGGAACUAAAAGUAUUGAUUAUGUUAGUCAGUUAUGAUCAUGACUGUUAACGGAGGACCUGAUGCAAAUCCACGCUUUCCUAAAGUUAUCUCUCAGGCCGUGUCUCACUUUCGUAAAUUUGAGCUUGAUGUUCUAGUUAUUGUCACGAAUGCUCCAGGAUGAAGUUUGCUUAAUGGAGUAGAGCGCAAAAUGGCUCCAUUGAGUCAUCAAGGUCAUCGGAACUUGUCUUACCGUAUGAUUCUUUUAGUAAUCAUCUUGAUGAUCAACGACGUACAGUUGAUGAUGAACUUGAACUCAAAAACUUCGAAAUAGCUGGUGAUAUUUUAGCGCAAAUAUGGAGUAAAUUGAUUAUUGAUGAUAGACCAGUCGUUGCUGAAUACAUAGAUCCGGGACGUGAUAAUGUUGAUGUAAGCCCAGAAGAAUGGGCUGCUGAUUGGUACUGUAGACAUAUUUACUGCAAAUUAGCAAAUGCACCAAAUUAAAAUGAUGUGGAAAAUUAAGGAGUAAUUUGCGAAUGAUUUUAUUAGAUGGAUUUAUUCCACCACCUCAUCCUCUUCGACAAGGGCAAUAUUUAGAUAUUCCCUUUCCUAAAGACCAAGCUAAUACUAAUUUUUGCCCUUUAUUUGAUCAUGACCUUUUUCCUAGCCGUUCAGACUUCAUUUUAUCACCAUACGGUUUUUAUUGUCCUACAGUUCAAACACAGUUGAUUGCACGUACAUGUCCGACGGGUGGAUUGUACUUCGCAUCAAAUAAAAAUAUGAGAACUCAGCGACAAUCAAGUAUCAGUGUACUCGCACCGAGAAUGUUCAAUCGAUUAAAUUUUUACGUCGUCAAGCUGAGUGUAGCCUGUGUCUCACAUCGUACAACAAUAAUACUCAUGAUGUAGAAUGGUAUGACAGUGAAGAUAUUGAUAUCGAAAAGUUAGAAGAGUCUAUAGAAGAACAAAAAAGAAUCAGUCGUUCCAGUAAUCGAAUCAAUAUCAGACUGGUUUUACUGAACUAAUUCUGGUCAAAACUGUGAUAAAUUGAUAAAAUUAAUGUUAUUGCAGUAAGUUAAGGAUUUUUAUAGUAAACAGAUUGUAAUAAAAGAUGUUUUCAUAAAAAACUGAUUUAAAUUUUA